RNAcentral lists this non-coding RNA (25 nucleotides) under Rattus norvegicus (Norway rat). Lineage: Eukaryota; Metazoa; Chordata; Mammalia; Rodentia; Muridae. The record is from RNAcentral.
CACAGAAGCAGGGGAAUGGGGGAUG